GACGAACGCUGGCGGCGUGCUUAACACAUGCAAGUCGAACGGAAAGGCCCUGCUUUUGUGGUGUGCUCGAGUGGCGAACGGGUGAGUAACACGUGAGUAACCUGCCCUUGACUUUGGGAUAACUUCAGGAAACUGGGGCUAAUACCGGAUAGGAGCUCCUGCUGCAUGGUGGGGGUUGGAAAGUUUCGGCGGUUGGGGAUGGACUCGCGGCUUAUCAGCUUGUUGGUGGGGUAGUGGCUUACCAAGGCUUUGACGGGUAGCCGGCCUGAGAGGGUGACCGGCCACAUUGGGACUGAGAGACGGCCCAGACUCCUACGGGAGGCAGCAGGGGGGAAUAUUGCACAAUGGGCGGAAGCCUGAUGCAGCAACGCCGCGUGCGGGAUGACGGCCUUCGGGUUGUAAACCGCUUUCGCCUGUGACGAAGCGGGAGUGACGGUAAUGGGUAAAGAAGCACCGGCUAACUACGUG
This 468-nucleotide ribosomal RNA is filed under the name uncultured bacterium. RNAcentral describes it as "partial 16S ribosomal RNA". It matches the Rfam family "Bacterial small subunit ribosomal RNA", at positions 28 to 507 of the family's 1533-position model. The record is from RNAcentral.